CCUCGUGGAGCUCAAUUGGUAGAGCAGAACAUUGAAGCUAUUUUGGUUGUAAGUUCAAGUUUUAUCUCGAGCA
RNAcentral lists this transfer RNA (73 nucleotides) under Colletotrichum zoysiae. RNAcentral's name for it is "tRNA-Phe". It matches the Rfam family "tRNA". Rfam says of the family: Transfer RNA (tRNA) molecules are approximately 80 nucleotides in length. Their secondary structure includes four short double-helical elements and three loops (D, anti-codon, and T loops). Further hydrogen bonds mediate the characteristic L-shaped molecular structure. tRNAs have two regions of fundamental functional importance: the anti-codon, which is responsible for specific mRNA codon recognition, and the 3' end, to which the tRNAs corresponding amino acid is attached (by aminoacyl-tRNA synthetases). tRNAs cope with the degeneracy of the genetic code in two manners: having more than one tRNA (with a specific anti-codon) for a particular amino acid; and 'wobble' base-pairing, i.e. permitting non-standard base-pairing at the 3rd anti-codon position. The record is from RNAcentral. Lineage: Eukaryota; Fungi; Ascomycota; Sordariomycetes; Glomerellales; Glomerellaceae.